Molecule: ribosomal RNA, 442 nt
Filed under: uncultured bacterium
Lineage: Bacteria
Description: partial 16S ribosomal RNA
Rfam family: Bacterial small subunit ribosomal RNA
Source: RNAcentral
CCUACGGCGGCUGCAGUGGGGAAUAUUGGGCAAUGGGCGCAAGCCUGACCCAGCACCGCCGCGUGAAGGAAGAAGUCUUUCGGGUUGUAUACUUCUCUUCUGAGGGACGAAGAAAGUGACGGUACCUCAGGAAUAAGCCACGGCUAACUACGUGCCAGCAGCCGCGGUAAUACGUAGGUGGCAAGCGUUAUCCGGAUUUAUUGGGUGUAUAGGGCGUGGAGGCGGGAAAGCAAGUCAGAUGUGAAAACUCAGGGCUCAACCCUGAGCCUGCAUUUGAAACUGGUUUUCUUGAGUGCUGGAGAGGCAAUCGGAAUUCCGGGUGUAGCGGUGAAAUGCGUAGAUAUACGGAGGAACACCAGUGGCGAAGGCGGAUUGCUGGACAGUAACUGACGCUGAGGCGCGAAAGCGUGGGGAGCAAACAGGAUUAGAUACCCUAGUAGUC